Molecule: non-coding RNA, 2865 nt
Organism: Durio zibethinus
Lineage: Eukaryota; Viridiplantae; Streptophyta; Magnoliopsida; Malvales; Malvaceae
Source: RefSeq, a predicted model, not a curated record
AAUUUUUAAUUUAAAGAUUUACAUAUGAAUUUGAUCUCUAAUAAUUUUAAAUAUAAAAAGAUAUUUUUGAAAUUACUUGUGCACGCAUACAAACUAAUAUACGAAAUGAAUACAUGUGCUCAUACAUCAUAUGUAAGUUCUCAUUAAUUUUAAGAAAAAGUAGAAUAAAGUUCAAGAUAAAAUUAAAAACCCAUUAUACAUAAUUGACUAAAAGAUUAAGGUCAAAAUAAUACAAGUGAGAACGAUGGAAAAAAAAAAUAGUCAUGCAACUUUUCAUGAAAAUGAGGUUAGCCGCAUUAAUAAAAGUCGAGCCAUCAAAAACACAGAAAAUUUGAAGUUAGCCAUCUUUAGCACAAAAUGCAGCUGGAAAGCUUGAGAAUUCAGGGAUUCUCUUUAAUUCCAUUCAUUGUCGGCACAAGGUAUUUACUUUUUGCGACGCAAUUUGCAUGCGUGAUGAGUAAUCAAGAUAGGGUUUUGUAUCUUUUCUCUUUUGUUUAAAGCUAGUAAAAAUUCUAAUUUCAACAUGAAGAUAUUAUGAAAAAUCACAAAUUUUGACUAAAAUAUGAAAAUUAAAUCUAGAAAAUCUUUAGUAAUCAUCAAAUAAGAGCAAAUUUUGAUUUUGACACCUAUAAUUUUGAAAAGUAUUAUCCUUAAUAGAUGAUAAUGUGUUGUUAAAGGGUUAUAACUAUUUUAACAAACAAUAAUAUCUUCAUUAAUUCUCAUGAACAACAUGGGAGAAAAGUAGCUUCGUAAAAUGGAAUCUUGGAAUGAGUUAUGCUAUGCCUAAUGCCAUGGAAUAUAUGUCUUUAUCUUCCGUAUUUAACAUGUCUUUCUCGUUCUCUAAAUUCAAUAAUUCAUUUCUCAAUUGUUGUUCGCUUGAAUGCUCACGCUUAAAUCAAUUUGUUCAUUUCACCAAAUAUUGAAAGUGAUUGAAAAGCCUAUACCAAUAAUUUUUUCUUCUUCUUUUUCUUUUCAUUCAACAAGAGAAAAAAAAAUAGAGUGAGGGAGAGAAAGGAACGAAUAUCCAAGGGUAAAAUGUCCAUUACCCAUAUGUACUAUCCUCUUUCUUCAAAAGCUAUCUUUUUAGGGUUUAGCAAGUUCAAAAGUGUUAUCAGUCCCCCUUCGGCCCUCCCCUAAUAAAAAAGAAUAUAUGUAAUCUGAUAGAAAAGAAAAUAGUUAAUAUCAAAGCAAAAAAAACAGAAAAGAAGUGAUUUGAUGUACAAUAUGAAAUGGUAUUUGACUAUUUCUUGUUUGCUAUUGCUGACCAAGUCAAAAAUAUAAAGGUAACUUUUUUAGUAGAGUAUCAUGCCACCCACCUUUGGAAGCAAAAGGCAAAAAGAAAUUCCUAAUUUAAUAUAGAUCAUACCAUUAAUUUUAGCUAUAUCAAAAGAAAAAGAAAUUACAAUCAUUUUAAACGAAUGAUUGAUUUACAAUUGAAUUACGUAAAGGAACACUAUACAAGUUCGAAUCUUAUUAUAAUUAAAAAUUGAAAAAAAAAAAAAAAGCAUACUAUUUAAUAAGUGGGCUGUCCUUCUGCACUUGGAGAAAACUUCUCUUUUUUUUUUUAUUUUCAAAAUUAUUCUUGUGUCGGCAAGCUAUAAAUUCUUUUUAAAAGGAAAGAUACCACCAACACAUAUAAGAAAAAAGGUAAUUCCAUUUUUAUUUCAUUGUUUUACCUGUUUUUAUUGGUAUAUUGCAAAUCUCAAUUGCAUCUAUGAAGUGGAAUGAAAACAAUGUUAUUUCAAAAAAUAAAAUCAAGGUGAAAAAAAGUCUUAUUACCAUACAUCUCUUUCAAGUUGACUUCAUAAUUUUAAUUAAAACGAUUGGGAAAAGGCGAAGAAAAAUGCAUCACUUCCAUCCACAUAAUAAUAUUCCAAUUUUUUUUUCUUUUAAUUGGAUCCUUUGUAAAAAGGGUCAUGGAUUUUUUUUUUCUUCUUUUUUGCAGCCGUAUUGACCAAAUGUACAGGCAAGUAAAAGGAUGUAAGAAAGAAAUCCAAGUGAUAAGAACAACAAUAACAACAAACGGUCAAUACAUAUCUUGAACACAUUGGAUGACUCUGUUGGGUAUUUUCCAGGGCUUUUGAUGAGGGAAUAUCUUCGAAUUGAUCCCAAAAAGUUUUGUCUGACUGCUCAUUAUACUUUUCUUUUCAAUCAAAACAACCUAGUACUUAUCAUUUCACUUUGUUCCAACCCAUGAUCGUUUGACACAUGGAUGACUUGAUAGCUGUUGAUUUCCUUUUUUUUUUUUUUUUUUGGUUUAAGGAUGGAUAAGAAUGAAAAAACCUCUUCCCCUGUCUCUCAAUCUAAAUUUCUAUGUCCUCUCAUGCCUUUUCUUCUUUGGAGUUUGGAUGGUUUGCUUGUAAUAAUGUUCAGAAAUUGUGUGCGGCUCCCCUUUUUUCUCUUUUCUUUGUUAAGGUUGGAAAAGAAAUUUUGAAAACUCAAUUGCUUAAGGUUGCUUGUUGGAUUUAUUAUUUUAAGAAAAUACUAAUAAGAUUCAAUAACUUUAUCUUCAUUCAUUUGAAUUACUAGAAAAUUUAUUACACGAAACAUUAUAUCCACAUAAUUAAAUGUAUAAAUAAAUUAAGUUAUACGUAAGAUAUUAAAAUUUAAUUUAAUAAUUAUUUGAUUAAGUUUAUAUUCAACAAAUCGAGUUGAAUUUAAAUUUUAAAUUCGUAUAUGAAACGUGAAAUAAAUCAAAAAAAAUCAUAAGAUUUUUGGACAUAGAUAAAUUAGAAAGGAUUAGAAACUAAAUCAUUUCCAAUUAUGAAAAAUCACAAUCUAUAUUAUUUUUUCAAAAAAUAAAUUGUACAAAGAUUUUGAAUUGUGUACAUUGCAUCAACCAUCUAGCUAGGUGCCAAAAAAAAA